This 468-nucleotide ribosomal RNA is filed under the name uncultured bacterium. RNAcentral describes it as "partial 16S ribosomal RNA". It matches the Rfam family "Bacterial small subunit ribosomal RNA", at positions 28 to 507 of the family's 1533-position model. The record is from RNAcentral.
GACGAACGCUGGCGGCGUGCUUAACACAUGCAAGUCGAACGGAAAGGCCCUGCUUUUGUGGGGUGCUCGAGUGGCGAACGGGUGAGUAACACGUGAGUAACCUGCCCUUGACUUUGGGAUAACUUCAGGAAACUGGGGCUAAUACCGGAUAGGAGCUCCUGCUGCAUGGUGGGGGUUGGAAAGUUUCGGCGGUUGGGGAUGGACUCGCGGCUUAUCAGCUUGUUGGUGGGGUAGUGGCUUACCAAGGCUUUGACGGGUAGCCGGCCUGGGAGGGUGACCGGCCACAUUGGGACUGAGAUACGGCCCAGACUCCUACGGGAGGCAGCAGUGGGGAAUAUUGCACAAUGGGCGGAAGCCUGAUGAAGCAACGCCGCGUGCGGGAUGACGGCCUUCGGGUUGUAAACCGCUUUCGCCUGUGACGAAGCGUGAGUGACGGUAAUGGGUAAAGAAGCACCGGCUAACUACGUG